GACGAACGCUGGCGGCGUGCUUAACACAUGCAAGUCGAACGGAAAGGCCCUGCUUUUGUGGGGUGCUCGAGUGGCGAACGGGUGAGUAACACGUGAGUAACCUGCCCUUGACUUUGGGAUAACUUCAGGAAACUGGGGCUAAUACCGGAUAGGAGCUCCUGCUGCAUGGUGGGGGUUGGAAAGUUUCGGCGGUUGGGGAUGGACUCGCGGCUUAUCAGCUUGUUGGUGGGGUAGUGGCUUACCAAGGCUUUGACGGGUAGCCGGCCUGAGAGGGUGACCGGCCACAUUGGGACUGAGAUACGGCCCAGACUCCUACGGGAGGCAGAAGUGGGGAAUAUUGCACAAUGGGCGGAAGCCUGAUGCAGCAACGCCGCGUGCGGGAUGACGGCCUUCGGGUUGAAAACCGCUUUCGCCUGUGACGAAGCGUGAGUGACGGUAAUGGGUAAAGAAGCACCGGCUAACUACGUG
This 468-nucleotide ribosomal RNA is filed under the name uncultured bacterium. RNAcentral's name for it is "partial 16S ribosomal RNA". It matches the Rfam family "Bacterial small subunit ribosomal RNA", at positions 28 to 507 of the family's 1533-position model. The record is from RNAcentral.